RNAcentral lists this ribosomal RNA (455 nucleotides) under uncultured bacterium. Its description in RNAcentral is "SSU rRNA". It matches the Rfam family "Bacterial small subunit ribosomal RNA", at positions 26 to 518 of the family's 1533-position model. The record is from RNAcentral.
AGGAUAAACGCUGGCGGCGUGCCUAACACAUGCAAGUCGAACGUCCUACGCAAGUAGGGAGUGGCGGACGGGUGAGUAACACGUGGGCAAUCUACCUUUCGGUGAGGAAUACCGGCGAGAAAUCGCCGACAAUACCGCAUACGCUUCGCAAGAAGCAAAGUCGCAAGACGCCGGAGGAGGAGCCUGCGCCCGAUUAGCUGGUUGGUGAGGUAAGAGCUCACCAAGGCGACGAUCGGUAGCUGGUCUGAGAGGAUGAUCAGCCACACUGGGAUUGAGAACGGCCCAGACUCCUACGGGGGGCAGCAGUGAGGAAUUUUCGUCAAUGGGGGAAACCCUGAACGAGCAACGCCGCGUGCAGGAUGACGCUUCUCGGAGUGUAAACUGCUUUUCGUCGGGGAAGAGAACGGACGGUACCCGAGGAAUCGAGCCCCGGCUAACUACGUGCCAGCAGCCGC